This is a long non-coding RNA of Helianthus annuus (common sunflower), 467 nucleotides long. RefSeq lists it as uncharacterized. The transcript is spliced from 4 exons. The record is from RefSeq and is a predicted model, not a curated record. Lineage: Eukaryota; Viridiplantae; Streptophyta; Magnoliopsida; Asterales; Asteraceae.
GUGGGUGAUGUAGCUAGUAUUCAUCAGAUAUGCUAGCCCUAUGGUCGACUAAUGUUGUGAUGGUACAUGGGUUUGAAUUUCUUUGCAUCUUCUGCGAUUGGUUAUCUCUUUUGGAUUGUGUACGAACGGAGGUCUUUGUUGGUGGGAGGAAAGGUGCACCGACGUAAUUUGGAUCAGAGCAGUGCUUCUAAGAAGGGGCAUCAGGAAUGAUAGGAAGGGGAAACAACUUUUGAACAGUUGGCCACUAGAAAAACAACGCGACUGGAAGCCGUUGGUCAAGAAGCCACAUUGCCUAGGACAAUCUCCAUUUUUUCAAGUUAUGUAAAUAACAUCCUUAAUGUUAGUCGUGUAACGUGCAGCCGUAACCUUUGUAUUAAACUUGGAUACCAUCUUUUGGGGUACACCAUAUCUAAUCGAUGUGACUGUGACUUUGAUGGAAUGCCACACGGCUUAAGAGAAAUAUAAAU